Long non-coding RNA from Asparagus officinalis (garden asparagus), 774 nucleotides. RefSeq lists it as uncharacterized. The transcript has 3 exons. The record is from RefSeq and is a predicted model, not a curated record. Lineage: Eukaryota; Viridiplantae; Streptophyta; Magnoliopsida; Asparagales; Asparagaceae.
GGAGUGCUGCCAAGACUGGGGAUCUCGAAGACACGUGCACGGCAUAAAUAUACUUGUAUGUAUAAUAAUACACUUCAUUAUACAAAGAAUGCCAGUUUCAGUUUUUGUGGGUUUUAGCUUGAUCAUUCUUUUCAUUUAUUACUAGUUAAUCACUUCUCUUUGAGUGAUAGAAACAGUUGGUGAUUCUAGAUCAAGUUCAAAAGAGAAGAGAUCAUUUGAGGAAUUGUCAUUUGAAUGAAAAGCAAAAGGGCUUGUUUGAUGGAGACCCUUAGCAAUCUAUAGCCACCUAUUUUACUCAAAUGGAAGGUUUUGAUGCAGGAGGAAUCGGUAUGCUUUAUGUCUUGAGAAUUUUUUGCUCCUUUCAUCACGCUUCUGGUACUCAUGGAUCAAUAUGUUCUCUUAACUUCCUUUUCAAACAUCUUUUUUCCCCAAUUUUAUUAUCAUCAUUGCAAAAAUUACGCUGAUUCAUGGAAAUUUACACAGGUACAGAAAUAAUGAAAGCCAAGAUUGAGAUUGAUACUGACAGGUUCCUAGUGAGUAUUUGACAUUGAGGAACAAGUUUUUGGAAACAAAUAGAGAAUAUAGUCUUUGACCGAGAAGUUUCAUGUUUUGUAAUCAAAUGUUGAUGUACAUUGUUUGAAUGUUAGUUCGGUACGAUAUUUUCUGAGUUGAAAUGUUGGUAGUGUGGAUUUAAUACUUUGUAGUUUUUAUACUAUACUGAUGUAUGUUGGCACUUAUCAUUAUGGUUGAUUAUGCUCAACAUAAUCACUUUUA